AGCAGCCGCGGUAAUUCCAGCUCCAAUAGCGUAUAUUAAAGUUGCUGCAGUUAAAAAGCUCGUAGUUGAAUUUCGGGACUAAUAUGUCGGUCGUGCCUCGGUACGUACUGGUUUAUUGGUUUCUCCUUUCCGAAGAACCAUGAUGUCAUUUAUUUGGUGUCGUGGGGAAUCAGGACUGUUACUUUGAAAAAAUUAGAGUGUUUAAAGCAGGCUCACGCUUGAAUACAUUAGCAUGGAAUAAUGAAAUAGGACGUUUGAUUCUAUUUUGUUGGUUUCUAGGAUCGACGUAAUGAUUAAUAGGGAUAGUUGGGGGCAUUAGUAUUCAAUUGUCAGAGGUGAAAUUCUUGGAUUUAUUGAAGACUAACUACUGCGAAAGCAUUUGCCAAGGAUGUUUUCAUUAAUCAAGAACGAAAGUUAGGGGAUCGAAGACGAUCAGAUACCGUCGUAGUCUUAACCAUAAACUAUGCCGACUAGGGAUCGGAUGAUGUUAAUUUUUUAAUGACUCAUUCGGCGCCUUACG
RNAcentral lists this unclassified non-coding RNA (520 nucleotides) under uncultured Glomus. RNAcentral describes it as "SSU rRNA". It matches the Rfam family "Eukaryotic small subunit ribosomal RNA", at positions 569 to 1092 of the family's 1831-position model. Lineage: Eukaryota; Fungi; Glomeromycota; Glomeromycetes; Glomerales; Glomeraceae. The record is from RNAcentral.